This 253-nucleotide ribosomal RNA is filed under the name uncultured bacterium. Its description in RNAcentral is "partial 16S ribosomal RNA". It matches the Rfam family "Bacterial small subunit ribosomal RNA", at positions 524 to 776 of the family's 1533-position model. The record is from RNAcentral.
UACGUAGGUGGCAAGCGUUGUCCGGAAUUAUUGGGCGUAAAGCGCGCGCAGGCGGCCUUUUAAGUCUGAUGUGAAAGCCCUCGGCUCAACCGGGGAAGGUCAUUGGAAACUGAGAGGCUUGAGUACAGAAGAGGAAAGCGGAAUUCCACGUGUAGCGGUGAAAUGCGUAGAGAUGUGGAGGAACACCAGUGGCGAAGGCGGCUUUCUGGUCUGUAACUGACGCUGAGGCGCGAAAGCGUGGGGAGCAAACAGG